GCUGAACAUCAAAUUGCAUUUGAACAUUUUCUUUUGCGUGAUAUAUUCUACCAACUAUAUAGGUAUUUAAAUUGUUUUCUGACAUUGAAAAUUAUUUUGUUGACUUUUUUUAGACCGAUGUAAAUGGGAAGUGUCCAACCAAAUACCAUCUGGAAUAUGUUAAUGGAACUGUUUUAAUCAUUAGCAAAAAGAAAGACAUCCAGAAUUGCAAUGCUCGAUAUCAACUUCACUCAAUUCUACCAACUUCACCAUAUGUAUUCCAAAAUGUGAGAUCUAUUCGUUUUAUUAAUAAUUGCAAUCACCACCUUCUUGCCAGCCUCAAAAUAUGUUUUCCGGAUCUUCUGUGCUUGAAUGUUAAAGUAUACUUAUGAAAUUAAACUUUGUUUCUCUGCGUUCUUUUGCUUACAUUGGAGCCAUCAAAAAAGCAAAUGUCGAACAUUAAAAUAAUGACACAGCCAGUAAAUCAGUCUGUUUUCAGAAGGACAAGUUUUCUUAGGUUUCAAAAUUCCCUGACUUAUACAUAAUUCUCUAACUUUUCCUUGAUUAAAUAACUGUCAGUAAUUUUUGUAGAAGCCCUUUAAUUUAACAGGAUUCAACUCUCAAGAAUGAAGUUCAAAACUUUACAUUUUGAGCACUAAAGAGGUUUUUUGUUGGUAAUUUUAGAAUUUUAAGAAAGCUCAAUUAAAUACCAAAUAGAAUUUAAAGUAUCAACUUUCGACUCUUUCAAUUUUGAACAUUCUUUUCUUUUUUUUAGAAAUACCAUAAGUGGACUCCUAUGUCAGCUACUCUUGAAUGUAGACAGUACAUUGAUCAUGGAGUGUAUCUGACCGUAUCAUGCCAAGAGACGCAUUCCUUCCAGCCUUUGCUCAACCAGUCACACAACGCAGUUACAACGGUGUCGCAAAAACUUCAACUUUUGGACGAGGAGUAUGUUUCUGAGUAUGACUUGGACGAGAAAUUUGAAACAGGUCCUAUCGGUAAACGAGUUUCUCUCUUGUUUGAUCACGAAAAGCCUAAAAAAUUAGAAGUACAUGAGCUCCAUGAAAGCAAAAGCUUUUUGAAACAACUUUGUCGUCUAGAUCAGGUAACACUCAGCAGGUGAUUUCAGUUUCAGGCUCUGUGAUUUUUGCAAAUUGACGAAACAAUUUUAUUCACUUAAAAUCCAUUAUAAAUAAUCAAUUCUAUUCGAGACAGGCAAUUAAUAUCAGCACCAACUGUUUUACAAAGAUUUAAAUAGAUAUAACUCAGUAUUGCCAACUCUUACAUAUCAC
Molecule: long non-coding RNA, 1271 nt
Filed under: Bemisia tabaci
Lineage: Eukaryota; Metazoa; Arthropoda; Insecta; Hemiptera; Aleyrodidae
Description: lncRNA ENSSSA1NGG013705
Source: RNAcentral